This 255-nucleotide ribosomal RNA is filed under the name uncultured bacterium. RNAcentral's name for it is "partial 16S ribosomal RNA". It matches the Rfam family "Archaeal small subunit ribosomal RNA", at positions 474 to 727 of the family's 1478-position model. The record is from RNAcentral.
UACCAGCACCCCGAGUGGUCGGGACGUUUUAUUGGGCCUAAAGCAUCCGUAGCCGGUCCUACAAGUCUUCCGUUAAAUCCACCUGCUCAACAGAUGGGCUGCGGAAGAUACUAUAGGGCUAGGAGGCGGGAGAGGCAAGCGGUACUCAGUGGGUAGGGGUAAAAUCCUCUGAUCCAUUGAAGACCACCAGUGGCGAAGGCGGCUUGCCAGAACGCGCUCGACGGUGAGGGAUGAAAGCUGGGGGGAGCAAACCGG